GGGAGGAGCAGCAGCGCCUGCGGGCAGCCCUGGCCGCCAGCCAGAGGGCACUGAGGUCCUUCCAGAGAGUGUCCCAGAUUGUCACCCAGGAUUACUGCCAGGCCCUGGAGCAGCUGGAGCUGGAGCAGGACCUGCGCUGCCACGCCGAGGCCUUCGCCCACCAGAUGCUGGUCCAGCAGAAGGAGGCGAAGCGCCAGAGCUCCAUCCUGCUGAGGAGCGCCGCG
Long non-coding RNA from Onychostruthus taczanowskii (white-rumped snowfinch), 224 nucleotides. RefSeq lists it as uncharacterized. Lineage: Eukaryota; Metazoa; Chordata; Aves; Passeriformes; Passeridae. The transcript is spliced from 3 exons. The record is from RefSeq and is a predicted model, not a curated record.